RNAcentral lists this ribosomal RNA (216 nucleotides) under Candidatus Peregrinibacteria bacterium. RNAcentral describes it as "partial 23S ribosomal RNA". It matches the Rfam family "Bacterial large subunit ribosomal RNA", at positions 2608 to 2828 of the family's 2925-position model. Lineage: Bacteria; Candidatus Peregrinibacteriota. The record is from RNAcentral.
GGUUCAGACCGUCGUGAGACAGGUUGGUCUCUAUCUGUUGCAGGCGUUAUACACUUGAGGGGAGUUGGCCCUAGUACGAGAGGACUGGGCUGAACAUACCUCUGGUCUACCGGCUUUGGUACCAACUGAAAUGCCGGGUAGCUAUGUUCGGACGGGAUAACCGCUGAAAGCAUCUAAGCGGGAAGCCUCCCCUAAGAAAGAAAUCCCCAAAUCGGU